ACUAUGUGUUGUUGGGUAGGGGAGCGUUCUGUAAGCCUGUGAAGGUGUGUCGUGAGGCAUGCUGGAGGUAUCAGAAGUGCGAAUGCUGACAUAAGUAACGAUAAAGCGGGUGAAAAGCCCGCUCGCCGGAAGACCAAGGGUUCCUGUCCAACGUUAAUCGGGGCAGGGUGAGUCGACCCCUAAGGCGAGGCCGAAAGGCGUAGUCGAUGGGAAACGGGUUAAUAUUCCCGUACUUGGUGUUACUGCGAAGGGGGGACGGAGAAGGCUAUGUUGGCCGGGCGACGGUUGUCCCGGUUUAAGCGUGUAGGUGUGUGUUCCAGGUAAAUCCGGUUCACUUUAACACUGAGGCGUGACGACGAGGCACUACGGUGCUGAAGCAACAAAUGCCCUGCUUCCAGGAAAAGCCUCUAAGCAUCAGGUAACAUCAAAUCGUACCCCAAACCGACACAGGUGGUCAGGUAGAGAAUACCAAGGCGCUUGAGAGAACUCGGGUGAAGGAACUAGGCAAAAUGGUGCCGUAACUUCGGGAGAAGGCACGCUGACACGUAGGUGAAGUGAUUUACUCAUGGAGCUGAAGUCAGUCGAAGAUACCAGCUGGCUGCAACUGUUUAUUAAAAACACAGCACUGUGCAAACACGAAAGUGGACGUAUACGGUGUGACGCCUGCCCGGUGCCGGAAGGUUAAUUGAUGGGGUCAGCGCAAGCGAAGCUCCUGAUCGAAGCCCCGGUAAACGGCGGCCGUAACUAUAACGGUCCUAAGGUAGCGAAAUUCCUUGUCGGGUAAGUUCCGACCUGCACGAAUGGCGUAAUGAUGGCCAGGCUGUCUCCACCCGAGACUCAGUGAAAUUGAACUCGCUGUGAAGAUGCAGUGUACCCGCGGCAAG
RNAcentral lists this ribosomal RNA (884 nucleotides) under Salmonella enterica subsp. enterica serovar Newport. Its description in RNAcentral is "partial 23S ribosomal RNA". It matches the Rfam family "Bacterial large subunit ribosomal RNA", at positions 1213 to 2079 of the family's 2925-position model. Lineage: Bacteria; Pseudomonadati; Pseudomonadota; Gammaproteobacteria; Enterobacterales; Enterobacteriaceae. The record is from RNAcentral.